This 200-nucleotide ribosomal RNA is filed under the name uncultured bacterium. Its description in RNAcentral is "partial 16S ribosomal RNA". It matches the Rfam family "Bacterial small subunit ribosomal RNA", at positions 8 to 214 of the family's 1533-position model. The record is from RNAcentral.
AGAGUUUGAUCCUGGCUCAGGACGAACGCUGGCGGCGUGCUUAACACAUGCAAGUCGAACGAUGAAGCUUCGGGGUGGAUUAGUGGCGAACGGGUGAGUAACACGUGGGCAAUCUGCCUGCACUCUGGGACAAGCCCUGGAAACGGGGUCUAAUACCGGAUACGACCGUCUCGGGCAUCCGAGAUGGUGGAAAGCUCCGG